ACGCUCGACACCUACGGGAGGCGGCAGUGGGGAAUAUUGCACAAUGGAGGAAACUCUGAUGCAGCGAUGCAGCGUGAGGGAAGAAGGUUUUCGGAUUGUAAACCUCUGUCUUUGGGGACGAUAAUGACGGUACCCAAGGAGGAAGCUCCGGCUAACUACGUGCCGGCAGCCGCGGUAAUCUGAGCGGGCUGGCAAGGC
This 198-nucleotide ribosomal RNA is filed under the name uncultured bacterium. Its description in RNAcentral is "partial 16S ribosomal RNA". It matches the Rfam family "Bacterial small subunit ribosomal RNA", at positions 328 to 539 of the family's 1533-position model. The record is from RNAcentral.